AGUGAACGCUGGCGGUAGGCCUAACACAUGCAAGUCGAACGGCAGCACAGAGGAGCUUGCUCCUUGGGUGGCGAGUGGCGGACGGGUGAGGAAUACAUCGGAAUCUACUCUGUCGUGGGGGAUAACGUAGGGAAACUUACGCUAAUACCGCAUACGACGUACGGGUGAAAGCAGGGGACCAUCGGGCCUUGCGCGAUUGAAUGAGCCGAUGUCGGAUUAGCUAGUUGGCGGGGUAAAGGCCCACCAAGGCGACGAUCCGUAGCUGGUCUGAGAGGAUGAUCAGCCACACUGGAACUGAGACACGGUCCAGACUCCUACGGGAGGCAGCAGUGGGGAAUAUUGGACAAUGGGCGCAAGCCUGAUCCAGCCAUACCGCGUGGGUGAAGAAGGCCUUCGGGUUGUAAAGCCCUUUUGUUGGGAAAGAAAUCCAGCUGGCUAAUACCCGGUUGGGAUGACGGUACCCAAAGAAUAAGCACCGGCUAACUUCGUGCCAGCCGCCGCGGUAA
Molecule: ribosomal RNA, 506 nt
Filed under: uncultured bacterium
Lineage: Bacteria
Description: partial 16S ribosomal RNA
Rfam family: Bacterial small subunit ribosomal RNA
Source: RNAcentral